UGAAGCUUCCAGAGUGGCAGAGGUUC
Molecule: non-coding RNA, 26 nt
Filed under: Homo sapiens (human)
Lineage: Eukaryota; Metazoa; Chordata; Mammalia; Primates; Hominidae
Source: RNAcentral